Symsagittifera roscoffensis is the source of this 192-nucleotide small nuclear RNA. RefSeq annotates it as U2 spliceosomal RNA. The record is from RefSeq and is a predicted model, not a curated record. NCBI's taxonomy places the organism in Eukaryota, Metazoa, Xenacoelomorpha, Acoela, Convolutidae. The transcript has a single exon.
AUCGCUUCCCGGCGUUUUGGCUGGGAUCAUGUGUAGCAUCUGUUCUUGUCAGCUUAAUAUCUGGCAUGCUGGGAAUUGCCUGGCACCAAUAUUAAACUGAUUUUCUACUUCCCGAGGUUACACCGAAGCUCGCUUCAGUUAACUAACGGAUUGUCCCAGUCUUACACUACCAUCGGGUACAGUCCACCUGAA